GGGAAAAGAAACAGUAUUUUAAAAAGUAAAAAUCUUGCAUCUAGAAGUCUGUCCUUUCCUCAGAUGUGGCUGCUGUUCAAGCACAGAGGCAUCUCUCAAGGAACUGCCAGAUAUAUCAAUGUCUCUCUACAAAUUAACAAAGUGGAGCUGUCAAUUAUUUAAAAAUGUAGAUGCAGCAAGCAGUUGGCUGUGUCUGGUAUUCCUCACAAAGAGGGGUGCCAGAAUUUCACUGGCAAAACACUUCAGCUAAGUGAUCUCAGAUGAAAAAAUGACAGCUUCUGCUAAUAAACAGUCAGGGCUAUGAGUAUAAACAUUCAUCAGUAGUCCUAGAGUGGAGGGAUCGUGGUAGUAUCUGGCUUUGCAGAGACUGUUGUGCUCUUUGCACCCUUGUGCGCAUGUAUUCCAGUCUUAAUCUGGGACAGUUACUGGAACUGGAAUGUACACAAUAAAAAGAAAGAGCAAAGGGCAUCUGCUCUUCAGAGCACAGCUCAAAUGCCUUGGCCAUUUCCUCCCAAAGUGCUAUAGCUUUGUUCCAGCAGCAGCUACAGGAAGGUUCAGCACACCCACAGCUCCCAGAGCUGGUGGAGAAGAUCAUAGGAACUAUCCCAUGUCCUUGGGUGAGCAGCAGAUGACUGGGAGAGGAGUACCAAAACCAUCACAGUGUGCUCCAUUGUGGGUUUGGUGUCUGCUGAGACGUGUCUCAAGGCACAGAGGGACUGAGGGAAGACCCUUGGGCUGGCACUUAGCAGUCAUCCAGCAAGGAGUGUGGAGCUGAGUAAUGGCAGGAGACAGAGGCAGAGAGACAAGAAGCCACAAAUCAGGUAUUCAAGUGGUGCUUCUAGGAUGCCAGAUGUGCUUCCUCCUAGGAGGAUAGAUCCAGGAAUGCAUGGGUUUACUCCAAGGAGACCAAGACAUAUGCAGCUGCAAAAGGAUUUCAAGAUCCACUCCUGUGCACUAGAGUAAGAUCAAUUAUACCUAUGUUAUUCGUGACAAAAGUUUGAUUUGGUCUUGGCUGUAGGGACCCUACAUGUGAUGCAGGGCAGUGCUGCACUACCUGUCCUAUUCAGUGGUCUCCAGAACAUCUGUUAGGAGCCUUCUCCAAGGUGAGCUGAGCCCUCCAUACUUUGUCCUCUUUCCAGGGAUGCAAAAAACAACACAUUGCUUCUCCUUGCAUUAUGAUGGCCCUUUAUGUAUUCCAGGAUUGUUGCUUUGCCCUUUCUCAGUCUUUUCAUCUCCUGAACAGCCUCCAUUUGUUCAACCUUCCCUCAGAGGUCAUGUUUUUGGGAUCAUUCCUGCUGGGCUCUCCUGUGGACUCUCUCUAGUAUUUGUGUAUUUUAUCCAGUGACUAUUGAUACAAAAUGCAGUGAUGAAAAAAGUUGCUUUUGCUGCCUGUGGAUGGUCCAAGUUGCAGAGAGAUCCAUGUGAUCCAGGGUUUCUCCACAGUUGUCUUGGCCCCCUGUCCUCUGCGUAAUGCAUGUGGUGAGGGAUUCAUACACACAUUUCACUUGCAACAACAACAAAUGCAGAGAAGGGGAACAUUUGUGAACAUCGUCUGACAUUUAAACAAGAAAGAAGUGAAAGGAUGCUUUACAGGGAGACUAUUUAUGGUAACAUGCUGGAAAAAUAUAUAUAUAUAUAUUCUCCUGGCAGCCAAUCAGUCUUGCAAAAAUUUAUUCCCCUCUGCUUGGGGAAGGCCUCAGGCAAGGUCAAUGGUGACCAGAAAGCAAAAAAAUGUUGAGUUUUGGAAAGAGAUCAUACUGUAGCAAAUGGCUCUUGCAGCCCCCAGACUCCUGCUGCUCCUUGGUGGAGGAGAAAGUGAGGAUCCUUUCCCUUCCCCUGGCUACAAGACCUUGUCCCAAGUCCUGCCAUGAAGCAAGGUCUGGCAUGGGGCAAGGAGUCCGGUUCACUGUGUUCCCUGGGACAGUAAAGCUAUGGGUGCAGAGGGACAACUGGAGCAUGGAACAGCACCCUGAUGCAGGAUGCCAGCCAGUUCGCAAAGGCUAUGAGAAAUAUUUUAGUUUUGUUCUAAGAGCACUUGCUUCCUGGUUACCCUCUGGUGGGACCUGCAGCUCUUCAUGACAAGAUUUAGGAGAUGGAGUCAGUCGGGGAGGACAGGCUGAGGUUUGGGUGCUAGCUUUCACAUGUGUGCAGACAAUGGCUGAUGACCUGUCUGUUGGAAGGGCACACACCUAUAAGGACUGUGGCAAAUGUGAUGGAAAAAAAACAGUUUGAGGAAAACACUAUGUCCUUGUGGCAAUGCCAAGGACAGAAAAUGGACAAAAUUAGUUCUUAAAAAAAUUGCAGGCUCUGAUUUAUUUUCAAAUGUCAAAGGAGAUCUCAGGAAGUCCUGUGCAUUUUCUUCCUCCCUUGUUAUGCUGUAACAGUGGAUAGAAGCUGAGAUUAAAAAUGUUGCCCACAAGCAACACAGUUGUACAAUAAGGAAACUUACACUGUAAGUUAACAGAGUCAUGUUAUUUCCCAUUUUAUGCCCAACAUAAUUUGAUGCUAACCUUGUGGCAAGCAUGCAGUAAUUCUAUAAGCAGAUCCACUGCUCUCCAGAGGCUCCUUUAAAGUGAAAUAACUCCGUUUUUAAGGUUCUGUAUGUACAGGAAACAGGAAAGAAGCUGCAAGCAUUUCUCACAAAAAAAGGGAGGAAUUUUAUUUUUACUAGGAUAAAAUAUAUUGCAGAUUGCUCAUUUGUUUACUUGUUUUUUAAAAAGCAUUGAAUGCUGAAGGCACAUCCAAUAUGUCUAUAUAGCAAUGUGGUGUAGUCUGCAAGACCUUUCAGUGGUUGAAGAUGACACCAAGCUGAGCAGUGCAGUCGAUACACUGGAAGGAAGGGAAGCUAUCCAGAGGAACCUGGAUGGGCUGGAGAAGUGGGCUCAUGAGAACGGUAUGAGGUUCAGUAAGGCCAAGUGCAGGGCGCUGUACUGGGGCUGGGGCAAUCCCAGGUAUUUAUACAGACUGGGGGAAGAUCUCCUUGAGAGCAGCCCUGCAGAGAAGGACUUGGGAGUCCUGAUGGACAAGAAGCUGGACAUGAGCCAGGAGUGUGUGCUUGCAGCCCAGAAGGCCAACUAUGAUAUGGGCUGUAUUAAAAGAGGAGUGGCCAGCAAGGAGAGGGAGGUGAUUGUCCCCCUACUACUCAUUGUACCCCUCUACUUGGCCCCAUCUGGAGUACUGUGUCCAGGCCCAGGGCCCCCAGCACAAGUAAGAUGUGGAGCAGAUCCAGAGGAGGGCCACUAAGAUGAUCAGAGGGCUGGAGCACCUCUCCUAUGAAGAAAGGUUGAGGGAACUGGGCUUGUUUAGCUUGGAGGAGGGAAGGUUCCAGGGAGACCUCAUUGUGGCCUUCCAAUACUUGAAGGGAGCAUAUAAACAGGAGGGGGAAUGACCGUUUACGUGGGUGGAUAGUGACAGGACAAGGGGGAAUGGUUUUAAACUGAGACAGAGAGGCUUAGGUUAGAUAUUAGGAGGAAGUUUUUGACACACUGGAACAGGUUGCUCAAGGACGUUGUGGAUGGCAUUCAAGGCCGGGCUGGAUGUGUCUCUGGGCAGCCUGGUCUAGUAGUUGGCGACCCUGCCUAUGGCAAGAGGGUUAAAACUAGAUGAUCAUUAUGUUUUUUUUCAACCCAGGCCAUUCAGUGAUUCUAUGACUGUGUAGUUCUAUGAUUCUAUGAUUCUAUGAACGUGGCAGACACUGUCCAGAAGCAAUUCUUAUAUUUCAUAUUUCUCUCUCUGCCAUUGAUUUUAUUCUAUAUUGCUUUAUACCUUUUAUUCUGUCUGAAUUGAUUUAAUAGCAUUUUGUCUAUUUGCUUAAAACUGAACAGUAUGAGAAACAUGAAGGAAAAAUAAAUUUUUAACUUGGAGCAUUUCAGAUAAUGGCUUUUGAGAUGCCAUGAGUCUGUAUUUUGUGUACUCUCUGCAUCGCACAGAAAAGAUGUAAAGAAAGUCUGAUACGGGUCCCAGGGUAGACCGAAGUUGCACAUCUCAUGGUGCUCAGAAACUCUAUCCCCCUUUGCUCCUAGGGCAAACUAGGGCAAACUUGAGCUGCAAACUUUUCUUCCCCAGGCUACAGUAGUGCCAGGGCUUUUAGAGUCAGGUUCUGACCAGAGAAGGCGACCAAGGCGGCACAUAGCACUAGGUCUGGUAUCUUUUACAAUGAGAGUGCAUUCUUGUCACGGGGCAUGCAGUAGGUGUUGAGGAGGGGCUCAGGCAGGUGGUUGGUGGCAGCCACAUUCCCUUGGGGCUGCCCUGCAGCGAAGCUCUGGCUCUAGCAUGGGCUCUGUCUUUCAGCAACAGAGCAUUAACUUGUCACCCUCAGCCUCACUCUUUCCUGUGGUUUAAUCUGGAGCUGGGUUUGAAACACAAAGGGAAUCUUGUGUUUCAUGUUCUUCUCCCUAGUUGCCUCCCUCACUGCUGUUGCUUAUUUAUAGAGAGAUUGCUGCAGGUGAUACCUAGAAAUUGCUUACAGUCUUUAGUCUCUAAAGUAUGUUUCAAAUGGUGCUGCCUCACUGCUAUAUCUUGGCAAUGCUUACUUUGUAUUUUCCCCCAUGUCUAUCCUGCAGUUCACUUACAAAAGGUAAAUGAAUUUAUAGGGUAUCCCUCUGAAUGGAGGGACAGUAAUUUAGCAUAAUACAAAGCAUAAUUCAGGUUGGGUAUUAAGAAAAACUUCAUAAAGAGUGGUUGGGCAUUGAAACAAGCUACGGAGGGAGUUGGUGGAUUCACCGUCCCUGGGGUGUAUGACAUCUAUGUAGAUGUGAUACUGAGGAAUAUGGUUUACUGGGAAACAAUGGUGGUAGGUGGAUGGUUGGAUUAGAUGAUCUUAGAGGUCUCUUCCAACCUUAGUGAUUCUAUGAGUCUAUGAUUCUAUGAAGCAUCAGUGUGUGCAACCUGAAUCUGUACAGCUACAAAAUGACCUCACGUUCUGUAUGUAUUGCAAAAGUGUUUGAUUUGCUUUUCUAAUUGUUUCUCCUUUAUUCUUUAGAUCAAGAGACGCUUCUAAAAGUAAAGUUUCAAAACAAAAAUGUCAAAAAGUUUCAAUCUGAAAUUGCCAAAAGAAAAUUAUUUGAAUGUAUGUAAUUUCUUUCCUCUUCUGUUCUCUUCUUUGAAUCCAGACUACAUGGGAAGUCAGGCUAAGUUUUGUACUAGUUCAUAGAGCCAAAGAAUGGUUCUACCACAUCACAAAACAUUGCAGUAGUCUGAAAAAAUUUCUCAGCUACACCCAUGCAGCAUUGUGUUCAUUGCUGAUGAAUUUCUCAAAGCUGCCUUGACAAAUUCUAUUGUUAUUCAUUAUUUACAUUAGCGCCUGUGAGGUUAUAGGUUUUGUCUGGCAAAAUAGUAAAAAACAGUAAAUAUAGCCUUUGUCUCUGAAACUUCACCAUUUUCAGCAUCCAUGAGGGAUUUUGAUGCAUGAAAUAACUCAGUUUUGCUGCUCUGUCUGGAGUAGCUCAUUAGUUAAUUCCUUGAGUGAUGUGCGUAAAAUGGUGCAGACUAUGGAUGGGGCUGCAGGCAUGGCUCCUGAGGAACCACCACAUAAUAUUUAACAGAUUUAGAUCUCCUCACUAUCAUAGUAUCUCCAGUCUCAAGUAGUCACAUGAAAGACAAAAUGAAUGAGCUAUAAGAAAUUCACACCAUGCAGCAUUGCUAUAAGUAAUAAAUCUCCUGCGGAAAAGGAAUUUGUAUAGAAAUAAUAAAAGUAUCAGAUGCUAAGAAGAAGUAAAACCAGCUGGGUAAUAUAAAAGAAAAUCUUUAUCCUCAUUUCACUGGUGAAAACUAAUUCAAACAAAAUCCAUUACAUAAAUCAUACACUUGAAAUUAUUUACAUAAAAACAGAUGGAGAGAGUUCCUACUGUGAUGAUGAUGUUUUGGCAAAGUAUGUCUUCCACAGAGCAACUAUCUUUCUGCAAACAAUGGUGUUUGUUCUGCUUUCGUCAGGGUGUAAACCUCUGGCAACCCUUGAAUUCUGUGGGGGCUCAUGUACAAAGCAGGGCACAGCCUGUUUCACUGCCAUUUUUGUGGCUACAGAAAAGUGAGGCUCUAAAGAAAAACUGUACUUCAUGCUGCCCGUGUUCUGGGGCUGCUGCAGCACAUGCUGUCUGUUUUACAGGAACAGAAUAAUUCCACCAUCUCCCUGGGCAGCCUGUUCCCACACCUCACCACUCUUUCUGAGAAGUUGUUCAUCAUGUAACAAAGACAUUUUUGAUGACUAUUUGAAAAGACUAAGUAAGUUAGGCAGACCACAUUGGGAAUGGGAAUUGAAACACACUGAACCACAUUGGGAAGUGAAAAACAUACUUCUGCGUAUACCAAUGCAGAGACAAGGUGCUGACCCCUUUAUACAGAUGAUCCCAUGUGCUCUUCAGCUCAUAAACGAGGUUCAGCGUGCAGGGUUUGGAACUCUUUGCCUUUUCCUGAUUGCUCUCCCUCUUCUUAGAAGAAAUAUCAGUGCAAUUUCCACCUCAGUUCUUGGUGUUUCUAGCUCAUUGCAUGACCUCCCUUCCAACAGCUCCACUACUCCCAUGCUACUUCUUCAAUUGCUGUUAAAAACAGCUUCAUGUUCAAAACAUACUAUUCCUGUCAAAAUAUUAAUUUCUUCCACAUGAUGGAAAAAUAUAAGCUGUCCCUUUAAAAAUGCAUCAUAAAAAUGAACGUUCAUGAAAUAUGAGUCAAGUUUCCAUAUACCUUAAUCAAAUUCUAGAGGGUCUCUAGGGGUUGGGACCUUCCGUGCACCUGUGCAAUGUGAAGUUUGUUCCAGUUCUGAUUGCAAGUAUUUCAUAGUAUAGUAUAGUAUUGCUUCCUUCAUUUUUGCCAUUGAAAACCCCAAGAUGCUUUCUGCAGGCUGAAGGUGCCAUUUUUGGGGGUGACAGUGAUAAGCCGUAGAGAUGGUGUGGCAUACUAACUAUCAGACUUGGAACCAGCAGAGUCCUCAAGCCAAAUAUCAGUCUUGAAAUCCCCAGAACAAAAUGUACCUGCCUUUCUCAUUCCCUGUUUUUAUUCCACAGGGAAAUAGACAGGACCAGGUUUGCAUGAGCUAUAGAGUUUGCCUGUAAAAGCAAUACUGUGAUUGGGUAUCACAGUUUUUAACAUGCUUUUUUUUUUUCUUUCCUUUUUUUUUUUUUGUUAAUGAAUAAACUAAUUCCUGAACUUGCUCAUUUUUCCCUCCUUUCUUCUCUUCUGCUCCCCACCAUUACCACUGCCCAUGCUGUUGGGUCUGCACAUGACAUUUAUGGUCGUACACAUGGUUCGUACAGACCUUUCUUCCCAUUCAGAGCACCUUUACCCAUACCUACAUUUCCCAUCAAGAAGCUCAUUAAUUUUGUGCUCUUUGCUCUACCUUGGUAUUCCCAGUGAGCUUGUCUCUGCAGCCAGGGAACUUCCUUUCUCUGGGGCCCUGGGAGUCUUUUUGGAGCUGCUCUAGCAGGGCAUUUCCAUGGAAGGCUUCGUCUGGUGCACUGGAUUCCUACUACCAUUUCCCUGGGGAGGAUUCCACAGACUAAUAGACCUCAUUAUUAGAGCAUUUUUCCUAAUUUUCUGCCUAAAAUUACCUUUAUUUUUUGCUGUCUCAGGAAAACUUCUUGGUUGUGUGUGUCAAAUGAAAGAGAACAUCAAUAUUUUUAGCAUUUGUUAAUAGCCAAAUGCUGAUAAAGACAACUGGUGCCUUUUAAAUCAAGCAUCUGCUGUCAACAGUCAUCUGAGUCUUAGAAUUUAAAAAAAAAAAAAAAAAAAGGCUUUGCUGAUACUUCAGAUGGGUUUCAUUUCACAUUGCAAAGUUGCCAAGGUCACGUGGAAAGGGGACUUGUUGUAGAAUUUAGCAUUUUUACACACUUGGAACAGUGUUUGAGGAAAGGAAAGAGGGAGAGGCAUAAACUGGGGACUGGGCCACAGAUGUCUGCUGGGGUCCACAAAGUGUGUGUGCAUCAUCUGUGAGCUAUUAAGCUCUCAUAGCUUUUGCCAUCUAAUAUCCUUGUUCAGGAAUGUACAUACUCCAAAAUAAAUUAGAUGGGGAUAUGGUAUCUUGUAUCUGUUUUAACUCAUCUGUCUCUGCAGAAGGAAAUUCACCAGUCCUGGUGUUCACAUCCUCCCAGCUGCCCAGAGGCAGUGACAAGAGCAUCUGAAGCAGCAUCCACCGCUGUGUAGAGGGAGAGAUGAGUGGUGAGCAUUCAUCUGCAGGGUCCUGAUUGCUGGGUGAAAGGGACAGGCAUGCAGCUACACCAUGGUCCAGCAGACACAGCCCAGGAGUCCACAGUAAGUGAUUCUGCAGGGGCUCUAGAAACACAAGCAGCUGCUGAGGGUCCUCCAGAGGAUGAAGAAAAAUCCUGAGAUGCUGAAGGAAGCUUUGAUGCAGAGGAUCUGCUGAUGGAUGCAUUAAUACAAGUGGAAAUAAGGCCUGUUAAAUCUUGCCUGAGCAGUUUUGGUAAGUGGGUGCUCUUCCCCUUGGAACGCAUGCAGAAGCAUCCUCUCUGUGGGGAAGGGUGAUCACAAAGAAAGCCACUGUUUCUGGCACUGCUCACCAAGGUUUAUUAGUGUGUAUCCUUUGAGGGCUGUGAACAUCUGCAGAGGACUGGAACUGCACAGCUGAGCACAUGGUCUCAAACCUGAUGUUUCCACGGGCUAAACAGGACAAGCGGUGAGCAGAUACCAAAGUUUUGAGUGCCACUGUCACAUGCUUACCUGCUUUUCCAAAAGACCAUGUCUUGCAAAGUCAGGAUGGAAAAUGCAGGAGUAUUUUGGCUUCUGGAAGCAUUUUUCUCCCUUGAGAGCUUUUCACCUUAAGCUACUCAUUCAGUAACUGGAGGACUGGCAGAGGCUGCCCAGAGUACUCUGUUCUGGAUGGCCCUGCUGGGGCUGGGGUUGUGCCAGACGUGCCAGGGCACUGCUACCCUCAGCUGUUCUGUGAUGUUGUAAUGGCUAAAUCAGUUGUAAGCAACUGCUAACAUUUAACCAUUCAUGUGAAAUGAGUGUGGGUCUCCAUCCCACUACCACUGCCAGUUUACCACCUCCCAGAUGGUACCAUCAGUGCUGCUUACAGUUGGCCAACAGCUGUUGCUGAGGUUGCCUUUCUGAUCUUGGAAGAGGUCUAGGCUGCAUGAAUUUUGCACUGUCCUCCAAUUUUACAUACUCCCAAGUGCCCUGUUUUGGCUGGAAAACCUGAUGGUCUAGCCCUUCUGAUGGCAACCCUGUGUGUUACAAGGGGAGGGAGAAAAGGGUUUGCAACCACAUGAUGAGAGCUGAGGGAAUGAUGAGUGGAAAAUCAGUUUAAUUGUCAUUAUUCUUUUUUAUUUGUCUUCUUGGAAAUAAGACAAAUGCUGUCCUUUCCCCUUUUUUCUUUUGGCUAAUAUUAGGCAUAUAAUACAGGCUGAAUACAUAAUUUUAUAAAGACUCAACACUGCUUGAUUAGUGUUAUUUGGAUCACAUUUUGAGGUUAUUAUCACAAAAUGGACUGGUUUUUCUGUGUAUUAAUUUUAAUGAUGAUGUUUUCUCUUGUGUAACUUCAACUAAAGAGAAAGGCAUCCUAAUGUUACCAUCUACGGAGAAAAGAAUCGUACAAAAGUUGGCUAAUGGAACAUUUCACUCCACCUAUUAACUCAAAAAAUAGAAGUCACAUGUUUCCAUUUACAAGUAUUUUAGUGAAAAGGCAUUAAGUGAAACAUUUUGUCAUCAAACAAUGUAGCUGAGCAUGUACCUUCUCAUGGCGUGGUGGGCCUCAGAUGUUUAUCAUUUCAUAGAAUCAUAGAAUAAUUUCAGUUGGAAGGAACCCUCAAAGGUCAUCUAGCUCAACUCCCCUGCAAAGAACAGGGAUACCUACAACUAGAUCAGAUUUGCUCAGAGUCCUGUCCAGCCUGACCUUGAAUGUCUUCAGGGACCGGGCAUCCACCACCUUUCUGGGCAAUCUGCCCUAGUGCCUCACCACUAGUAUUGUAAAAAUCUUCUUCCUUAUAUCCAAUCUAAAUCUCCCUUCUUUUAGUUUGAAACCAUUUCUCCUUGUCCUGUCACAGCAGUCCCUGUUUAAAGAGUCUGUCCCCUUCCUUAUAGCCCCUUUUUGAUACAGAAAAGCCACUCUCAGAUCUCUUGGAUUCAGAUCUCUUUUCAUCCCUUGGGCCAUUUUUGUGGCCCACCUCUGGACAUGCUCCAACAGGUCCAUCUCUCUCAUGAGGAUUUCUGUACUGAGGACUGCACAUCUAGAUGCAGUACUCCAGGUGAGGCUUCACCAGCUUCAGUAGAGGCUUCAGUAGAGAGGCAGGAUCACCUCCCUCCCCCUGGUGGCCAUACUUCUUUUGAUGCAGUUCAGGAUACAGUUGGCUUACUGGGCUACAAUGGCACACUGCUGGCUCAUGUCCAUCUGGUCAUCCCCAAGUUCUUUUCAUUUUGUAUUGUUUAGAAAUACAGUGAUAUAAAUUUGGGUCAUAGAAGGGCUCUGAGUGUUUGGAAGAGUUACCUUUGGACCUGCACAGGGCUCCUAUGGUAAGAAGGACCCUGAAGGUUUGGCUCUGGGCAGCUGGGUUUCUGCUUCAUGCUGUGGUUAAUUACAACAUGUCCUCAUGUGCUCCCGGGGGUGUGCAGAGCCAGGAGCUCAGAUUUCCUCCCCAAACACCUCUUUGUGGUGCUACUGCCAGAACUCCCUGCAGCUCAAUGUUCAUUCUGAGAAAAGGCUCUGCAGCAUGAUGAAGGGCUUUGCGGAAAAUGAAUGUCAUCAUUAGUGACUCCAGGACUGCAUUUUGGCUCAGAAUUGUGCAAUUCUAUUUCAAGGUUAACAGCUAACUUAAUCUGGGUGGAUGUUUGUCCUCAGAACAGCUAGUUUCUCCUCAAAAUAAUCUCUCCAUUCUUUUCCAUCCUGAGAAACACCACUCAGGUCCCCAGGUGUGAGAGCUGACACGGAAAGGUUGUUCAACAAAUUACAUUUGGCUGAUCUGAAAUUCCAAAAUAAGGCAAAUAGUGCAGUAGGUCUGAGCAGAGGUCAGGCAUCAGCUUCCUCUAGUGCGUAUAUAAAGAGCAGCUUGUGUUCCUCACAGCCAGUGAGAAUCCUGCUCUGAGCAUGUCACAGGAGGAAUUCACAAAAUGACAGUGCUUUCCCAGGCCUUUACUCAAAUUUAACCUUUGGAAAUUUUUUUCCCUAUUUUGUUCCUCACGUCACAAUGUGAAAUUAUAAUACAACUUACACCUUAAAUAAAUAUAUGUGUAAAAUCUCAAAAAGCAGUGCAUAUGUGCAAGGUAGAUCUUUUUUGUGUUUUUGUUGUUGUUUUCCCUUGAUUCAUACCUUAAAAGGUUUCCUUUGUGAACAGCUUAGGAGUUUUAAACUGGAAGGCCAGCUUACAACCAAACUGUGAAAUAUAUGCAGCAUAGAUGUAUAUUCACCUUCAUGGCUAUUUCACAAGGUGGAGGCUGUGUCCCUUUCUGACAGCUUGGUAGAAAGCAUAUCCUUCAUGUGGAAGUUUGAUGGUGAUAGAAUUGAUGAAUGUUUCCACUGAUCCUGAAGAUGGGUUGCAGGCUCAGAUGCAAUGGGGUUAUGUUCAGUGCUAAAUUCCCAUUGGGAGGGCUGGGAAGGGUUUCUGCAGUCUCUUUCUCCAUCCCAAUCAGGAUCACCUGUACCUGGUGUGUUCUUGGUUCAUCUGGCUUUCGUCUAAACUGUCUGUUGGGCUGAAAAAAGUUUAUGGGGCAAUUUAUCGCAUGGGUAGUUACCCAUUCUAUUAAAUAGCCUGAGUCAUUGCUGUUGAAGUGACAACCCAUCUUGUUGUGUCCCACAUGAGCUUAAUCCCAUUCCUUUUGGCAGUGAGCUUUUACAGGCAGUCAUCCACCCCUCCACCUCCUCUACUUGAUUCGAUGAUUCUGUAAGACUGGAGCAUUGGAAUGGGCUGCCCAGGGAGGUGGUGGAGUCACUGUCCUUGGAGAUGUUCAAGAAAAGGAUAAGUGUGGUACUGAGGAACAUGGUUAGUGGGUAUGGUGGUGAUGAGUCAGCAGUUGGACUAGAUGAUAUUAGAGGUCCAUUACAACCUUAUUGAUUAUAUGAUUCUAUUCUAUGCUUGGGGCUUUGAACCCCUCUGAAGUUCCUGCAGGUUUCACAUGUUCUUUGUCAGUACUUAGGACUGCAGCCUCCAAACAGCCUAACCAGGGAAACAACACUGCAAAACAAAUCCCAGCUUGUCCACUGCAGGUGCAAGGCUGACACAUCCCCAUCUCUUAAUGCUAUGGACUGAGCCAAAGAAGCUCCAGGGUGCCAAUACCUAAGGAAGGUCUGCAGGUGUUGUACUGAGAUGGAAAUGCCCUGUGCAUCCAAAGGUGAGAGCCACACAUCCCACUGGUCCCCUGAAGGAAGAAGCAGUUACUCCUGAGCCUUGCAUUGUCUCCCAAGUUCUCUCUACAACGCAGAACAUUGACAUCUUUCCAAAACACAGCAGAAAAAAAUGGAUAUUAAAACAGGUAUUUUAAAAGCAAUCUUACUCUUUAUUUUUUGGUGGAGUUCUAGUUACAUGCUACUCUUAGAUGCGAUCCAUUUUCUAAUAGGUCAAAAGUCUCAUGGGAAUCAGGCAAGAAACUGUGACAAGAACUAAAAUUAUCUCUACUGCUCCCUUGCACAGAUGGUGCUUUUCUGAAGCUGAGUGGGGUGAAACUGGUGAACACUGUGGGUGCAAGCUGAGGCUAUUCUGGCAAGAACCCCUGCAGAGUUUUGCUAUAGGCAGCUUCUGAUCACAGGGGUUCACCAAGACGUUCAUCACCAUGCCAAGGGCAGUGUCUGUAGGGGGGAAAUGGAAAGAAGCUUGGAACUCUUAAAUAGUUUCAGCACAAAAAAAGCUUCUACUGACAGCUGCUGAAACACAGUCUUUCAAACACAGCGAUGAACUUGAGUGUCUAGGAUUUUAAGCUAAUUAAAAUAGAACUGGAUGGAAUUAAUAUAAACAUAGCUUCAAACCAGGCCAAGGAAAACAAAACCCCAUGCAGGCUGACCUGAUGAAGAUUGUGGAAUACAGGUGCCAUUCAAUUUUCUGGAAUAGCAUAUUAUUUUUUAUUCUGAUGUUGAUAGGAAAAUAAUUUACAGACUCUCUCAGUAGGUUAUGUUGGAUUUCAUUCCGGUGUCUCCUUUUGCAAUAAUGCUAAUGGCAAAAGAAAUGCACAUUGAUAUUGUUUUAGCUGCAGCAGAAAUGCCAGGGAACUCAGAUCUGUGCUAUCACCUCGUCAGUGGGCAAAUUACUAAAUCGGAAUUUUAUGAAAUUACUCAAUAUUUGUGCAGACAGCUUCCAGGAAAAAGCACUUGUGUCUAUUUAGCUCUAGUGUGUAACAGAUGGGUAGAGACAAGUUAUUUCUUUGUAGCCAGACUCAUACUGACAUUUUAAGACAGCUUUCCUUAGGUGCUCAUUAGUUCUUGUAAGCCAGAUAUUAAAUCUUACCUUAGAGCAAAAUUCAGUCAUAUAAAAGGCCUUCAAGCAAUGUUGUAGUGUGUUACUUGCAAGAAAAUUAAAUGUAACCCAUCCUUUCAAAAUUGUAUUUCAUUUUAGCUUACAGCAUUUAGAUGUUAGAAGUCAGUUAUUUAUCUAUUAACUUUAAGCUGUUUAGGAACUUUAAGCUGUUCAAGGAAUUGUUGACCAAGAUCUCCUAGGACGCUGUCCUUAAAGACAAAGAUGCUGAGGAAAACUGGCUACUCUUCAAGGGUGCCUUUCUGAGAUCACAAGAGCUCUCCAUCCGUCUGAAUAAGAAAGCAGGAAGACAGGGCAGGAAACCAGCAUGGCUCAGCAAGGACCUGCUGGGCAAACUGGGGGGAAGGAAAGGCACAUACAAACUUUGGAAACAAGGGUGUGUCACCUGGGAAGAAUACAGGGAUGCCAUUUGGACUUGCAGACAUGGGAUCAGGAAAGCCAAGGUGCAGGCAGAACUGAACUUGGUGAGGGAUGUGAAAAACAAUAUGAAGACAUUCUACAGGUACAUUGGCCAGAAGAGAGAGGCCAAAGAGAGUGUAUCCUUUGGUAAAUGUAAAAGGAGGGCUGGCUUCAACAGAUGGAGAGAAGGCUGAGGUACUGAAUAAGUUCUUUGCCUCAGUCUUCACUGGCAGCCAGGACUCUAAUAUUUCUCACAUCCCUGAACCCUGCAUCCCUAAACUUCUAGGUGGGGACCGGGUGAGUAAAUCCCCCCCCCCCCCCCACUGUAAGGACAGAGCAAGUCCGAGACCACCUCAUGAGACUGAAUGCGUACAAGUCUAUGGGGCUGGAUGGCAUGCAUGGAUGGCAGGGUUCUGAAGGAGCUGGGUGAGGUGGUUGCUGAGCUGUUCUCUAUCAUAUUUGAAAAGUUGUGGCUGUCAGGUGAGGUCCUGGAUGACUGGAGGAAGGGUUGCAUCACUCCCAUUUGUAAGAAUGGGAGCAAGGAGGACCUGGGGAACUACAGGCCGGUGAGUCUCACCUCUGUACGUGGGAAGAUCAUGGAGCAGAUCCUCCUGGACGACAUGCUUGAUUACAUGAGGAAUGAGCGUGUGAUCCGAGACAGCCAGCACGGCUUCACCAGGGGAAGGUCAUGCCUAACCAAUCUGGUGGCCUUCUAUGGUGGAGUGACGGCACUGGUAGACAAAGGGAAGGCGACUGAUGUCAUUUACCAGGACUUAAGCAAGGCUUUUGACAUGGUCCCCCACCACAUCCUUAUCUCCAAAUUGGAGGGAUGUGGAUUUGAUGGGUGGACCACCUAAUGGAUAAGGAAUAUGUUGAAAGGCCACAGACAGAGGGUGGUAAUUAAUGGUUCUAUGUCCAGGUGGAGGCCGUUAAUGAGUGGUGUCCCCCAGGGGUCUGUCUUGGGACCGGUGCUCUUUAACAUCUUCAAGAAUGACAUCGAUAAUGGAAUUGAGUGCACCCUCAGCAAGUUUGCUGAUGAUACCAAGCUGAGUGGUGUUGUCACUGUGGAAUGAAGGGAAGCCAUUCAGAGGGACCUCAACAGACUUGAAAGGUGGGCCCAGGUGAAUCUAAUGAGUUUCAACACAGCAAAGUGCAAGGUUUUUGCACUUGGGCCGGAGGAAUCCCAGGCAUAUAUACAGACUGGAAGGAGCAGUCCUUGCGAGUAGCCCUGCAGAGAAGGACGUGGGAGUCCUGGUGGAUGAAAAACUUAACAUGAGCCAGCAGGGUGCUCUUGCAGCUUGGAAAGCAAGUGGUAUCCAGGGCUCCAUCAGUGGAGGGGUGGCCAGCAGGCACAGGGAGGUGACAGGACAGCAGCCCUCUCUACUCUGCCCUUGUGAGGCCCCAUCUGGAGUACUGUGUCCAGGUUUGGAGUCCCCAGUACAAGAAAGCUGUUGGAGAUGGUCCAGAGGAGGGCCACAAAGAUGAUCAGAGGGCUGGAGCACCUCCCCUAUGAAGACAGACUGAGGGAGCUGGGCUUGUUCAGCCUGGAGAAAAGAAGGCUGCAGGGUGACCUAAUUGCAGCCUUUCAGUACCUAAUGGGAGCCUAUAAACAGGAGGGGAGUCAACUCUUUGAAAGGGUAGAUAACAGCAGGACAAGGUGAAAUGGUUUUAAGUUGAAACAGAGAAGAUUUAGGUUGGAUGUCAGGAGGAAGUUCUUUACUAUGAGUGUGGUAAGGUCUGGAACAGGCUGCCCAGAGAUGAUGUGGAUGCCCCGUCCCUGGAGGUGUUCAAGGCCAGGUUGGAUGGGGCCCUGGGCAGCCUGUUCUAGUAUUAAAUGUGGAAGUUGGAAGCCCUGCCUGUGGUGGGAGAUGUUGGAGAUUCAUGAUCCUUGAGGUCCUUUCCAACCCAGGCCAUUCUGUGAUUCUGUGAUAUUCUUCUACUGCAAUUCUUCCACAAAUCGUGGGUCAGAGCACUCUGACAGUUAUCACUGACAAAUAGGACAUCUUCUCUUCUUAUUGCUACUCCGAAGAGCAGCCUUGGGAUGGACCAACAAAGAGGAAGCAGGACAGAGUCCCUCAGGCUGAGCCUUCAAGUCAGAUUGCAAGUGAUGGAUGGCUGACAGAUGAAGCUGCAAGAGAGACUUUUCCCUGUGGGGCCACCAACAGCACAGGCAGACCCUGCAUCUUCUCCAGCCUCCAUCUACAGCUGUGUUCCACCAAAGCUGUCCAGGUCGGAACUUCUCCCUCCAUGGCAAUGCAGGUAAAGGUGGGAGAAUUCCACAACUCUCCAAACCACCCCACCACUCUGGUCUACAGCCACAUUGCACAGAGAAGUAAGGUAGGUGCUGGGAUCUAAAUAGCAUUUUCUCUUUGUGAUGCCAACCAUUUCCACUCACUUCAAGAUCUUCUCAGGCUUGGAAAUGUGUGGCUCUGUACGUGUUCCUUUCCCAUCCUUUCCAGGCCAAAAUUCCUGAUUAGCAGUGAUUGCUUACAUGAGAGUUCUAGCUUUUUAGUGGUAAAAUGCAAUUAUCUGUUGUUUCACACUUGUUUCUGAAAUGUUGUGAGCACGAGGGAAAAAAAGAGGACAACCCACUUCAGAAAUUAAUGGCAGUCAGCUAAUGUAAAUACAAUUUCCCAGCAUAUCCCUAAGCACUGCAUAUCAGACAUCAGUGAUUUCAGAUGAGUCCUUAAUCUGAAUUCAUCUUUGUUGGGGUUGGUAUGUUAACCAUACACUCUGUUGACUUUUAAUGUGUGAGAAUAACAUUUCUAGAGGUAUAUUCCACGUUCUGAUAUCAUCCUGAAAGCAAUUAUAUAGUGACUUAAACAUUCACUUAAAAGUCCUAGCUUCGUGAUAAAGAGUUUCUUGUUGGAAAAUGUUUAUGAAGUGACUCAGUACAAUUUACUAUCCAUGGAUGAACUACUUCUAACCCCCCCAGCAGCUUGCAUUUCUCACUACCACUGCACCCAACACAGCUGAGACGUUAAUGAGUGAUGAACAGCUUCUCUGUAACAUCAGUUCUGCCCCUUCUGAGUUAUGCUUUCCUUGUGGGGAGAGGUGCACCAAAGUGCUUUUGAAGUGUUGCUGCAACCUUGCAGUAGGGGAGAAUGGUUUUGAAAGCUGGUGUCACGAGUGCAGCGACUUGAUGCUGGACUCAGAUGUGAACGAUCCAAAUCGUUUAUUACAAGUUCUCACCUCGCUUAUAUACCUUCACAAGUUUUCUAGCUUUAUCAUCCACCCCUACAACUUUCCCAUCCACCUUUACAUGUCAACAGAGCAUUCUACACUCUUCAACCAUUCAUGUGGGUGCUUAUCCAAUCAGAGCCGUGAGCUAUUCUUUCUUCUUCUAGAGGUGUCCUUGGUUCUCAUGAUGUUUAUCUUGCUCCACAGCUGCUGCUUCUGAACAGUUUUUCUUGUAUUCCCACAAACAAGCAUGGUGUAGUGCACCAGACAUGUCUGUGCAAUAAAUAAAUAAAUAAAUAAACCCAGCCCAAAUAUUUAGUUUUGUUUUAUGAAAGGAUUGUGAAAGAGGAGCUCUUCUGAUCAGCAGAUAGUUUCACACACAUUUCUCAUCAGCCACAGUGGAAUGCUCAAAAUAGGAUCAAUUUUGGUGAUGUCUCACACCAGAAAAAUUCUUGCAGAAUCCUCUCACUGUUUUACCAUCAUUCUAGCCAGAUUAAACAAACCAAAUCCUCAUGGGGGUUCAACAAGCACAUUUACCCACCAGAGUCCAUGCAGGGUACCUCUCUUCUCUAAGGAGAAGGUCGAUUCUAAAAGAGAGAAGAUCCUCCAGUGGCAUCUGCUUCAUCUCCCUUCUACCCCCCUCUGUGUAUGGAAAAGAAACACAGAAUCAGCUGAAGACUGGAGGGCUCAAAUUUUAUACACAUCUCUCCAAAAUGGAGAACAAUUUCAGUGUGGGUAUUUGAGGUCAUCUUGUGUAAUUUUCUACUUGGAUAGUAUAUAAGUAUGCAUAACACUCUGCAGCUAAGCCCCCUAAGAUUGCUUUGGUCUUGAUGACCUAAGGAUGUAACUGAGACAAGAUCUGCAAGAAUGCACUUCUCUAUAAAAUAGCUUAUUCUCUCCUCACAAAUACUGCCACCUCUGUAGAAAUGUUACUAACCUCUGCUGAGCUCCAGUGAGUACUCCUGCAGAAGUACUUCCUGCCUUCUCCCUCUGACCCAGGCAGCAGGCAAGAUUCAGAAAAUGGGCUUGGUUUUAAUUUAAUUUGAUGAGAAGGAACCUUCUGUUAUGGAUAUAGCAAUAGCAGCACAAACUGUACUGUGAGCACAUCACUAUUUUCCUUUGCUUAGGGAGCUGGAUUCUGCUUUUUUUUUUUUUUUUUUUUUUUUCCCAUGAAUCUAAUCUGGAUUUGUCUUUUAAAACAGCAUAUUUCUGUCACCUGUCUCUCUUCUUUUAAUAGCCUAUCUUCGAAAGAGUGUCUGCACACACAGGAAAAAUCACUAUGCAUUUAACAUAAAUGGGACUGCAUACUACACAAACUGCUGAUACAUUUCCAGACAUAGACUGAAAAAAAAUUUAUGAUACCCCUUACACAGCUCCAUACAAAUAUUUAUGCAUAGCCUGUAUUUUACAAACCCUUAUCCUUGUGCUGCAGGUCCUUCCAAGCCACGUGAAGUUAAUGUGGUGUCAGACAUGUCUGUGCUCAGGGCAUAAGAAGCCUUUGUGGACUCGUCUCCAGGAGGAGCAGCCCUACCCCAUGGGGUCUGCCUGCCAUGAAGCCUCCCUGUUUUCUCUGCAAUAAUUGUAACUGGACCCUUUUCUAUGUGAGCUGCUUAUCUUCCAUCUGAGGCCCAUUAGGCAGCAUACACAGAGAAUGUGUGAAGUCGGUGCUUGGCCGCCUUACUGCUUCUCGUUUUGGUGUGUGUAGAUGAGGCGAAGGCAGUUUCUGAAUUUCUGCCCCUCAGUGGGCUACAGAAGGGGAGCAGUGAGUCCCUGGGCUACUCCUGCACUGGCAACGUUUAGCAAGGGUCAGUGCCAAUUUGUGGUCAUGCCUUCGUGUCCUGUGCUUGUUGGGUUUUAUUAAUCAGCACUUUGAAAAGGCAGCAGUGGGGUUAUAGAACAUUACUGAAUUCUCGUGGAGGUAUUCAUUUAUCAUUGGCAAGCUUGAUGUUUCACAUAACUGUUACUUCAUCAUAUUCUGUGGUUGGACUUGAUGAUCUUUAAGGUCUUUUCCAACCUGAGCUAUUCUAUGAUUCUAUUAUUCUAUAUAGCAUUUAGUUAAAUGUGUUUUAAAAACCAGCCAUGGAUCCCAUGUUACCAGUGGUAUAAUAUAGAUCCAUGCCUGUCCAAGCAAGCAGCCCACUGCGUGAGUCCAGUGACGAGACAUUUAUGUGCACAGGGUACCUGCUGGGCCAAAGCCAGCAUUUAGGUGCCACUUUCCACCAAGUCUAGGGAAUUUCUCAGUUGCCCUUUUCAGCAAUGUUUUUACAGUCUUUUGUAUGGUAGCAACAGCAUUAAAGGGUUGCUAAGUGCGGGGGGAGGAGAACAGAAGGGUGGAAGUGACUACUUGCAGCUCUCCAUGCCUCUUCCUGGGAUCCAGAGGAACCAGCAGUGCUGCUCACAUUCACACAUGUGCCACCACACGUCUACAACCACACAUCCUCAAGUUAAGGACAGACACUGAAUUCCUUUCCAGUUCAAGCACUGUCAGGUAAAAAAUUGAGCUUUAUGUAUUUGAAUCAUGGACUCAUUUAGGUUGGAAAAGGACUACUAAAAGUCCACCACUAAACCAUGGUCCUAAGCACAACAUUCAUACUUGUCUUAAAUAUCUCCAAGGAUAGGGACUUCCCUGUGCCGCCUUUCUCAAUGCAUAACCACAUUGUGCAGAAAGGAAGAUCCUUCCUUUUUCCUAAAGAAGUUCUCUUGCCCCAGGAUUUCAUCCCAGCACUUGGCUCUUGUGGAGACAGCAGGAAAUGUUCACCGCAUUCUUUAAGGGGGAAACUGAUGACAGUGUUAUUCUCUGUGCACCACAACUCAUGUUUCUGGGUACUGCUAUUCUCAAAACUCUUCAUGCCAGUAAGAGCAUAGGAGCAUGUUUUAUUUCCUUGAUGAGCAAAUGCAACCCUUUGAGCUGGGAAUCUCAAAGGUAGCUCCACAAGAACAAGGCCUUGCUGAAUACUAAUGAAGUAUUUGCCAAAGUACAUGCAAUCCAUGAGCUGUGAUUUACCACUGGUCACUUUGAGAUAGUUUAUAACGAGAUAAAUGAGAAAAAUAAUGUCUCCUUUAAUAAGGUAUAGUGCAGAAAACUAUUUAAGCUGAAAAGAGAUUGGGUUUGCUGAUUGUGUACUGCAUGCAGCCUCUUGAAAACUGGGCUUUCUGUCCCGCAGGGCAUUCCAAUGCAACACUUGGUUUCAUCUGUAAUUACAAUGAACUUUCUAAAUGUCCAUUUCCCACAGAGUCGAAAAAUUUGAAGAAAAACAUGAUUAAAAAAUGGUCAGGAAUGACCUAUGACAUUGUCACUGUCUGGCCCUGCUAUGGCUUCACGUGUAAAUUCGGUUGCACAUGUGGUCACUAUCUCUAUUGCAGGACCCACAGUAAGCAGGUAAAUGCUGUCAACUGCCACAUCUAUAUCAAACUGUGUUUUUGGACAAGUACUGGAGGGCACGACAUCUGAGGUUCAUUUGCUAUGCUCCCUUUUCAGCCACAAAGUGAUUGAUGACUUUAGUGUUUACCUUUAUACAGUGAGGAGUAGGAGUUAUGUUGGCUAUACUGUUACUUCGCAGUCUUAAUGGAACCAUACUCACAAUUAAUAAGGAAUAACUACCUUGCACUUUGGUCACAGACUGAAAUGGGAGAUUUUGGUAGCAGCAACCAAAGAAAAUGUUGGCAGUGAAUGCUGCCUUUGGACUACUUCUGCCCAAUCCAGGCUACUGUGAAUAGAUUUUUUCAAUAGCUAGAGCAUUAAAAUAUUCAAAGCAAUGGCAAUAUAUUUUAUUAAAAACAGUGCAUUGCUUGGUAGGGCAGAAGGAAAUAAUGGCUCAGGGGUCUGGGAAUGGAAGAUGGAACCAUUUACAUCUAAGUCACCCUUUCACAUCUAGCCAAGGUCAGCAGUAAACAAGAAUUGUAUCGUUACCAGCUGGUGGCCCACAGAAUGAGAAAUAAAUUGAUAGUGUGAGUCCAGUUUCCAUGAAAUGAGGCAAAUACUGCAAAACCAGAACCAGAAGUGGAACUAACUGACACUGCUGCUGGCCCUACCUGGGUGCUGAGGAUAGAGUGGUGGAAACCUGACCAUGUCCCAGUAAGACAGGUGGUCCCAACAGGACUGUGGCAGAGGAACAUGCACGGUCCCUUUGCUGCCUGGUGGGCAAGGCAUCCUGCAUCCUGCAGACCCCAGGCUGCGACAUGGAGGGCCGCUUGCCUCCACCUCCCCUGGGCAUUGCACAUACCCAGACACCCAUGUCUGGCUGAUACUCAUGUUGUACAAGCAACAGCUUCUUAGUCCACCUUCCUUUAGUUAGAUGUCCUAUUGAAAUGAGAAAGCUUUAAAGUAUGAUGUGUGAGCUUGGGCUGAGGUAGCAGAUGAUGUUUAUUAUUAUUUUUAUUGGCUUCUUCUGGAUUUUCUGAUGUGAUUAAUUUAUCUAGCCAUAAUAUUUUAAAAGCACAAUCAAAUUUCAUUUUAAUUUGAAGCCAAAAUGCUCAGACUCAUAAUAUUUGAAGCUCAAAAAAUGAUGACUCUUUUUUAAAAUACCACAAGGGAUAUAUCAAUUGAGCUUAAUUACAUCAAAGAACAAUCCCAUAAGAGAGAGGGGAAAAAAAAAAAAAAAAAAAGAAGAAGGAUCUGCCAGAAAUAAAAAGGCUGCAUGGGUCAGUGGUCUCUUGAUUGUAAGGUAUGUGUUACAAUACACAUGUGUAUGUAAACAUAUACAUGCUUGUACAUAAUCAUAUAUAAACCAGCAUACUUUAACACUUAGCUCCACAAAAUGAUCUUUUCAUAGGUAUUAGGAGAGCAUGAGGUGCUCUACAAAAGGAAUUGUGCUUGCUUGUUUUUACUUUUCUCAUAUGACAGGCCAAAUAUUGCCUUUCCUGAUGCUAAUAUCUGGAAAUCUGUUACACAAGUACGCUAGGGGGAAAAAAUUAAUAAAUGGGACUCAUUAAAGGUAUUGCCAGAGAAAACUUACUAGAUUUGGCCAGGACACUGAUUUAAUCAACAUUUUUUCUUAUUGAAAGCAAAUGUUCAAGUGUGGUGAAUUUGAAGUGGCUAACUGAGGAGUUUCAGAGCGGAAAAUAGAUCUGCAUAAACCUGCAUAUAUACACUAAAUCCUAAAUGGAAGAUAGCUCUGUCUGCAUAUUCUGGAGAAGAUCCUGGAGAAAGUAGAAAUAAGGAAAAAAGACAGAAUUAAAUGUUGAUGCCUCCAGAACGAUGCUCUCUGAAGAAUCAUAGAAUUGUUGAUGUUGGAAAAGGCCUCUGAGGUUGUCUAGUGCAACCAUCCACCUACGACUAAUAUUGUCCACUAAACCCUGUCCCUAAGUGAUGCAUCUACCCUUUCCUUACACACCUCUAGGGACGGUGACUCCAGCACUUUCCUGGGCAGCCUAUCCCAGUGCACUGCCACUCUUUCUGAGAAGAAAUUCUUACUAAUACCCAACCUGAAUGAAACAGCAGCUUCACCUUUUUGUUUUAUGGGCAGUUCUAUGGAAGUCUGGCUAAAUAGCAUGGAUGAAGCACCUUCUUCUAAUGCAUCAGUGCAGAAUGAAGUGAACACAGGUAGCCCAGUACAAGGCAGAGCUAAAUGAAUUCCUUGCCUCUCUGUGAGUGCAAUCUGCACCUUGAGUCAGCUGUGCCACCCUGUUACAAAGACUUUGUUGUAGUACAGGAGUCUUAAAAAUAGCCUUCACCUCCUGAACCCCCUUCUAGAAAUGCUCCUCCACUCAGCCACAAGCUGAAGCUAAUUUUCACACAUCUGCUGUAAUUUAAACCAUCUGUGUGGCUGCAAGUUAAGGACAGAGAAUUUGUGGCCCAUAUUCUUCCCAUCUGACACUGGGAAGCUUUUGUGUGCAUUGUCCAUAUGCCUGCAUUAGCUCUGUGGGUUUGGGUCCAGAUAGCCACACUAUUUCUCUUUCAAAAACACUGUUUUUUAAGAAUCCCUCAGUGAGGAAUACUCAUUACCAAGGUGCUUAGGAAGGAGCAAGUGGUGCCAAGCUGGCUCUAGCAGGGUUGCUGGCUACUGUGCACAAUUAGUUGUUAGGCACUGAAGAGCCCUGUCGCAGCUCUUGAUUACCUAGUGUGUUUUGAAAAAUCUCCUCAGCUCAUACCAGCUUUCACUCACUGUAGGUAAUUAAGUUAGAAAAAUAAACACAAGCAGGGCUGCUCUGGCUGCAAGGACUGCUGUGCUCAAUAUAAGCCCUCAGCUGCACAGAGCCAGAGGGAGCUGCUAACAGCACUGACAGCUCAGGGAAGUGAUUUAUGAAGCUUUUCUUUUGCGAAAAGUUGGCAUCUAGACAAUCUGUGCCCCUCCCGCUGCCUGCGUGCUCUUCUGGCAUGUGUAAAGCCCAAGCAUAUUCCAUAAACAGACCAUUAAGCCCAGAAACUCUUCUUAAAACAUAUGAUUAGAAACCAAAACAGCUCAAUCCACAUCCAUGUGAUAUUUGUAUGAAGGAUUACAAAAUGGCAGCAGAAUGACAAGACAUACCAUACUGCCCAGUACCAGAGUAACCAUUUGUCUACUGGGAUAAAAACCAGCGCUGAAGUUCUCCAGUGCUGAAUGUGUAUUGCUGAGCUGAAUGUGUAUUGCUGAUCUUGAGAAAUGUUCUCCUUUAUUGCAGCGUACUCUGCUCCCACUGCUGGUUUAAUCCCAAGGAGCUCCUGCUUUUGAUCUCCAUGUGCAUCUGUGGGCAUAGACUGAGUGCCCAGAUAACUCUGGGAAUGUGGGGAAAGAUGUCCCAUCAGACAGGGCCACACCAACAGAGCCUCACAGGCCCAGGCCUUGACAAAGAACACUGCACAAGCAUGUUUGUGAUGCUUCAAAGAGACAUAGAAUCAUAGAAUGGCCUGGGUUGAAAGGGAUCACAAUGAUCAUGUAGUUUCAACACCCCUGCUAUGUCCAGGGUCACCAACCACUAGACCAGGCUGCCCAGAGACACAUCCAGUCCGGCCUUUAAUGCCUCCAGGGAUGGGGCAUCCACAACCUCCUUGGGCAACCUGUUCCAGUGUGUCACCACCCUCUGAGUGAAAAACUUCCUCCUAAUAUCUAACCUAAACCUCCCCUGUCUCAGUUUAAAAUCAUUCCCCCUUGUCCUGUCACUAUCCACCCACGUAAACAGUCAUUCCCCCUCCUGUUUAUACGCUCCCUUCAAGUAUUGGAAGGCCACAAUGAGGUCUCCCUGGAACCUUCUUUUCUCUAAGCUAAACAAGCCCAGUUCCCUCAACCUUUCUUCAUAGAAGAGGUGCUCCAGCCCUCUAAUCAUCUUAGUGGCCCUCCUCUGGACCCACUCCAAGAGUUCCACAUCCUUCCUGUACUGGGGGCUCCAGGCCUGGACACAGUACUCCAGAUGGGGCCUCACAAGAGCUGAGUAGAGGGGCACAAUCACCUCCCUCCCCCUGCUGGCCACUCCUUUUUUAGUGCAGCCCAGGAUAUAGUUGGCCUUUCAGGCUGCAACCGCACAUUGCUGGCUCAAGUGUAGCUUCUCGUCCAUCAGGACCCCCAAGUCCUUCUCUGCAGGGCUGCUCUCAAGGAGAUCUUCC
Long non-coding RNA from Gallus gallus (chicken), 24501 nucleotides. The record is from Ensembl. NCBI's taxonomy places the organism in Eukaryota, Metazoa, Chordata, Aves, Galliformes, Phasianidae.